GGCUCAUAUAUUUGAGUGCUUGGUACCCA
This 29-nucleotide non-coding RNA is filed under the name Mus musculus (house mouse). Lineage: Eukaryota; Metazoa; Chordata; Mammalia; Rodentia; Muridae. The record is from RNAcentral.